UACGGGGGGGGCAAGCGUUGUUCGGAAUUACUGGGCGUAAAGGGCUCGUAGGCGGCCAACUAAGUCAGACGUGAAAUCCCUCGGCUUAACCGGGGAACUGCGUCUGAUACUGGAUGGCUAGAGAUUGGGAGAGGGAUGCGGAGUUCCAGGUGUAGCGGUGAAAUGCGUAGAUAUCUGGAGGAACACCGGUGGCGAAGGCGGCAUCCUGGACCGACACUGACGCUGAGGAGCGAAAGCCAGGGGAGCAAACGGG
Molecule: ribosomal RNA, 253 nt
Filed under: uncultured bacterium
Lineage: Bacteria
Description: partial 16S ribosomal RNA
Rfam family: Bacterial small subunit ribosomal RNA
Source: RNAcentral